UACGUAGGGGCUAGCGUUAUCCGGAAUUACUGGGCGUAAAGGGUGCGUAGGUGGUUUCUUAAGUCAGAGGUGAAAGGCUACGGCUCAACCGUAGUAAGCCUUUGAAACUGGGAAACUUGAGUGCAGGAGAGGAGAGUGGAAUUCCUAGUGUAGCGGUGAAAUGCGUAGAUAUUAGGAGGAACACCAGUGGCGAAGGCGGCUUUCUGGACUGUAACUGACGCUGAGGCACGAAAGCGUGGGGAGCAAACAGGAUUAGAUACCCUGGUAGUCCCUGAGCGGG
Molecule: ribosomal RNA, 280 nt
Filed under: uncultured prokaryote
Description: partial 16S ribosomal RNA
Rfam family: Bacterial small subunit ribosomal RNA
Source: RNAcentral